RNAcentral lists this ribosomal RNA (505 nucleotides) under uncultured bacterium. RNAcentral's name for it is "bacterial SSU rRNA". It matches the Rfam family "Bacterial small subunit ribosomal RNA", at positions 28 to 527 of the family's 1533-position model. The record is from RNAcentral.
GAUGAACGCUAGCGGCAGGCUUAACACAUGCAAGUCGAGGGGCAGCGCGAUGUAGCAAUACAUUGGCGGCGACCGGCGCACGGGUGCGUAACACGUAUGGAACUUACCCUUUACUGGGAGAUAGCCCGGAGAAAUCCGGAUUAAUAUCCCAUAAUAAACGAAGUGGCAUCACUUUGUUUUGAAAGCUCCGGCGGUAAAGGAUGGCCAUGCGCACGAUUAGCUAGUAGGUGAGGUAACGGCUCACCUAGGCUACGAUCGUUAGGGGGCCUGAGAGGGUUAUCCCCCACACUGGUACUGAGACACGGACCAGACUCCUACGGGAGGCAGCAGUGAGGAAUAUUGCGCAAUGGAGGCAACUCUGACGCAGCCAUGCCGCGUGCAGGAAGAAGGCGCUACGCGUUGUAAACUGCUUUUAACCGGGAAGAAACCCUCCGACGUGUCGGAGGUUGACGGUACCGGAGGAAUAAGCACCGGCUAACUUCGUGCCAGCAGCCGCGGUAAAGUG